RNAcentral lists this ribosomal RNA (494 nucleotides) under uncultured bacterium. RNAcentral's name for it is "partial 16S ribosomal RNA". It matches the Rfam family "Bacterial small subunit ribosomal RNA", at positions 28 to 507 of the family's 1533-position model. The record is from RNAcentral.
GACGAACGCUGGCGGCGUGCUUAACACAUGUAAGUCGAACGGUGAAGCGCCUUCCUUUUUGGUGGGUGUGGAUGAGUGGCGGACGGGUGAGUAACACGUUAGUAACCUGCCCCCUUCUUCUGGAUAACGGCAUGAAAGUGUGGCUAAUACGGGAUAUUCUGGGUCUGUCGGAUGAUGGGUCUGGGACAGAUUUUGUUUCGGUGGGGGAUGGGCUCGCGGCCUAUCAGCUUGUUGGUGGGGUGAUGGCCUACCAAGGCGGUGAUGGGUAGCCGGCCUGAGAGGGUGGGCCGUAAUAGUGGGACGGAGACACGGACAAGACUCCGAGAGGAGGCAGCAGUGAGGAAUAUUGCACAAUGGGAGGAAGGAUGAUGCAGCGACGCGGCGUGAGGGAUGGAGGCCUGCGGGUUGUGAACCGCUUUCGCGAGAGAAGCAGGCCUGCCUCGUUUGUGGGUGGGUUGACGGUAGCUGGAGAAGAAGCGCCGGCUAACUACGUG